Molecule: ribosomal RNA, 305 nt
Filed under: uncultured bacterium
Lineage: Bacteria
Description: bacterial SSU rRNA
Rfam family: Bacterial small subunit ribosomal RNA
Source: RNAcentral
GGUAGCCUACGGGGCGCAGCAGUGAGGAAUAUUGGUCAAUGGGAGAGAUCCUGAACCAGCCAAGCCGCGUGAGGGAAGACGGCCCUAUGGGUUGUAAACCUCUUUUGUCGGAGAACAAAACCCGGGACGUGUCCCGGACUGCGUGUAUCCGAAGAAAAAGCAUCGGCUAACCCCGUGCCAGCAGCCGCGGUAAUACGGAGGAUCCGAGCGUUAUCCGGAUUUAUUGGGUUUAAAGGGAGCGUAGGUGGAUUGUUAAGUCAGUUGUGAAAGUUUGCGGCUCAACCGUAAAAUUGCAGUUGAAACUG